RNAcentral lists this ribosomal RNA (28 nucleotides) under Beauveria sungii. RNAcentral's name for it is "partial 18S ribosomal RNA". Lineage: Eukaryota; Fungi; Ascomycota; Sordariomycetes; Hypocreales; Cordycipitaceae. The record is from RNAcentral.
ACCAGCGGAGGGAUCAUUACCGAGUUUU